This 253-nucleotide ribosomal RNA is filed under the name uncultured bacterium. RNAcentral describes it as "partial 16S ribosomal RNA". It matches the Rfam family "Bacterial small subunit ribosomal RNA", at positions 524 to 776 of the family's 1533-position model. The record is from RNAcentral.
UACGGAGGGUGCAAGCGUUAUCCGGAUUCACUGGGUUUAAAGGGAGCGUAGGUGGUCAGGUAAGUCAGUGGUGAAAUCUCCGGGCUUAACCCGGAAACUGCCAUUGAUACUAUCUGUCUUGAAUAUUCUCGAGGUAAGCGGAAUAUGUCAUGUAGCGGUGAAAUGCUUAGAUAUGACAUAGAACACCCAUUGCGAAGGCAGCUUACUACGGAACUAUUGACACUGAGGCUCGAAAGCGUGGGGAUCAAGCAGC